GAUCAUGGCUCAGGAUGAACGCUAGCUACAGGCUUAACACAUGCAAGUCGAGGGGCAGCAUGAACUUAGCUUGCUAAGUUUGAUGGCGACCGGCGCACGGGUGAGUAACACGUAUCCAACCUGCCGAUGACUCGGGGAUAGCCUUUCGAAAGAAAGAUUAAUACCCGAUGGCAUAGUUCCUCCGCAUGGUAGAACUAUUAAAGAAUUUCGGUUAUCGAUGGGGAGUGCGUUCCAUUAGG
Molecule: ribosomal RNA, 239 nt
Filed under: uncultured bacterium
Lineage: Bacteria
Description: partial 16S ribosomal RNA
Rfam family: Bacterial small subunit ribosomal RNA
Source: RNAcentral